AGAGUUUGAUCCUGGCUCAGAUUGAACGCUGGCGGCAGGCUUAACACAUGCAAGUCGAGCGGUAACAGAGAUAGCUUGCUAUCUGCUGACGAGCGGCGGACGGGUGAGUAAUGCUUGGGAAUAUGCCUUUGAGUGGGGGACAACAGUUGGAAACGACUGCUAAUACCGCAUAACGUCUACGGACCAAAGGGGGGGAUCUUCGGACCUCUCGCUCAUUGAUUAGCCCAAGUGAGAUUAGCUAGUUGGUAAGGUAAUGGCUUACCAAGGCGACGAUCUCUAGCUGGUUUGAGAGGAUGAUCAGCCACACUGGGACUGAGACACGGCCCAGACUCCUACGGGAGGCAGCAGUGGGGAAUAUUGCACAAUGGGCGAAAGCCUGAUGCAGCCAUGCCGCGUGUGUGAAGAAGGCCUUCGGGUUGUAAAGCACUUUCAGUUGUGAGGAAAGGGGUGUAGUUAAUAGCUGCAUGCUGUGACGUUAACAACAGAAGAAGCACCGCUAACUU
Molecule: ribosomal RNA, 503 nt
Filed under: uncultured bacterium
Lineage: Bacteria
Description: bacterial SSU rRNA
Rfam family: Bacterial small subunit ribosomal RNA
Source: RNAcentral